Chenopodium quinoa (quinoa) is the source of this 1176-nucleotide long non-coding RNA. RefSeq lists it as uncharacterized. NCBI's taxonomy places the organism in Eukaryota, Viridiplantae, Streptophyta, Magnoliopsida, Caryophyllales, Amaranthaceae. The record is from RefSeq and is a predicted model, not a curated record. The transcript has 2 exons.
AGAGAAAUUGUACUUGUAAUUUUAGAUAGUCUUUCAAGGUUUAAACAAUAAUGCACAUGUUGCCAUUCUUGUCGGGCUUGCCUAAUCUCAAGAAAAAUGGUAGGUCAGUUCAUGAUUUUACAUAAAUGAGUUGGUAACUAAGAGUUUGUUUGGUAUCAUUGUCAGUUUUCAUUAGUUGGAGACCCACAAUCCAGGCUCUGAUACCAUGUUAAAUUUUUGAGACAAUAUGAAAUGGGCCUGACACUGAGUUUGUUCCACAAACAAGGCUUAGGGUCUUCCAUAUAAAACCAAUUGGCACUAGUAGGAGUAUCUUCUCUACUUUAUAAAGUGGAACCACUAGUAGAAAAAUUGAAAAAGGCACCGCUCAAUGGCCACCGGUUUUUGAAAACCGGUGGCUUAAAAAAUGGGCGGGAUUAGGCAUAUGUACAUUGCCACUCAAACCGAACCGGUGGCAUAAAUGAUAAAAGGCCACCGGUUUUGAACCGGUGGCAAUAAUCAAAUAAUAAAAAAAAAAAAGCCCACUAUUCUCUUUCCCCUUCCUUUAUAUACCUAACCCUAAUCUUCUCUCUCCUCUAUCACCUCUCCUCCUGCUCUCCUCCUUCUCUCUAUCUCCUUCGUUCUUACUCCCCCUCUCUGUUCUCUCUCUCUCUACCCUGAAUCUCUCUCGUCGACCUCCUCCUCUCUCCUGAUCUCUCUUCUCUUUCUCUCUCCUUAACCCUAAUCUUCUCCCUCUCUCGCGGUAUCUUCCUCUCUCCUUCGUUUGGCUCGUCCACCGCCGCAACAACAACCACCGCCAUUAACCAUCAAGCUUAUUGUCGCACUUACUCUCUCCUCGUGAUGAAAAUAUGGGUUUUCUGGUCUAAUUCGACCAUGAAAACUCUAGAUCUAGAGUAGAGUUUUCAUGGUCGAAUUAGACCUUUAUAACACAAAUUCAAGAUAAUUUCGGGGGUUUUUGCUGAAAUUCGAGGUGUUAAUUGAUGCUGGAUUCAAGACUUUCAUUUUGGAAUAUUGUUAUUUUUUAAUGUUGUAAUUUUUUUUUUUUGUAAUGUAUAAUUCAUUGUUUUUUUUUGUACUUAAUACUUCAUUGUAAUUUUUUUUUAUUGUACAAUAACAAUCUAUUAUUUGAAUAUAAAUGUGAGUAUAUUUCAUUGCGCUCUUAUAUUGAUUGUGAUGUUA